Molecule: long non-coding RNA, 160 nt
Organism: Ictidomys tridecemlineatus (thirteen-lined ground squirrel)
Lineage: Eukaryota; Metazoa; Chordata; Mammalia; Rodentia; Sciuridae
Source: RefSeq, a predicted model, not a curated record
GUUAUACCCACAGCAAUAUCUGAACUGCACUCAAAUAAGCUGCCCCAGCCCCGGCACUUCAAAGGAGGAGGAGACCAGGCCCUGGGGUGCAGGGAGACGCUUCGGAGAAGAAAACCUGAGAUCUGAGAAUGAGGCUACAAGGCAAAAAAAAAAAAAAAAA